Molecule: ribosomal RNA, 449 nt
Filed under: uncultured bacterium
Lineage: Bacteria
Description: bacterial SSU rRNA
Rfam family: Bacterial small subunit ribosomal RNA
Source: RNAcentral
UGCCAGACUCCUACGGGAGGCAGCAGUGGGGGAUAUUGCACAAUGGGGGAAACCCUGAUGCAGCGACGCCGCGUGGGCGAAGAAGUAUUUCGGUGUGUAAAGCCCUCUCAGCAGGGAAGAAGAAAUGACGGUACCUGAAGAAGAAGCCCCGGCUAACUACGUGCCAGCAGCCGCGGUAAUACGUAGGGGGCAAGCGUUAUCCGGAUUUACUGGGUGUAAAGGGGGCGCAGACGGCGAUGCAAGCCAGGAGUGAAAGCCCGGGGCCCAACCCCGGGACUGCUCUUGGAACUGCGUGGCUGGAGUGCAGGAGGGGCAGGCGGAAUUCCUGGUGUAGCGGUGAAAUGCGUAGAUAUCAGGAGGAACACCGGUGGCGAAGGCGGCCUGCUGGACUGCAACUGACGUUGAGGCCCGAAAGCGUGGGGAGCAAACAGGAUUAGAUACCCUCGUAU